GGUAUUUUCUUAACUCAGUGUUGGGUCAAUAAUCCCGCCGCACCUCGUGGGGAUUUGAGGUGACUUAUUUUUCAAUGGACUGAACAGGCAGAGGGACAAGACGUCGUCACCAAAAACAGAGAUUCAAUGGAUAUUUUGGUGGAGGAAACACUCAAAGAUUGGAAUAUGGAGUCUCGCAUCACUAAAUUUGAAGAUAUGAAAUGUGACUUGCCCUGAUAGUGCUGCCUCUACUUCAACUGGGAUUUUCCCACACAACAAUCUCUAGGGAUUACACAGAAUGGUCAGAAAAAGAGAAAAUAUCCAGUGAGUGGAAGAUCUCUGUGUAGAAAUGUCUUGUUGAUGGCAGAGGUCAUAGGAGAAUGGCCAGACUGGUUUGAGCUGAUAGAAAGGCAACAGUAACUCAAAUAACCACUUGUUACAACCAAGGUAUGCAGAAGAGCAUCUCUGAAGGCACAACAUACCGAGCCUUGAAGCAGAUGGGCAACAGCAGCAGAAGACCACAAGAAAAAGAAAGUCGUAUACAAUGUACUUCUGUUCAAUUGCUAGCUUUUAGUUGGAAAUUCCUACUUUUAUUUCUGAUUGCUUAGGAAUUGCUAUUAUUCAAGCUGUGAAAUGGCAAGAGAUAAUGUUGUUGUGCGUCUGUGUCUGUGUGUGUGUGUCUGUGUGUGGUCAUGUUCCAAUGUUAGUAACUAUUGAAGCCUCAGGUUGACCUUGCAUACAAUUAUCCAUACAUUUAUUUAGAAAUUACUCAUUGUUUUUUUAAGGGAUAGG
Molecule: long non-coding RNA, 771 nt
Organism: Esox lucius (northern pike)
Lineage: Eukaryota; Metazoa; Chordata; Actinopteri; Esociformes; Esocidae
Exons: 3
Source: RefSeq, a predicted model, not a curated record